Long non-coding RNA from Apus apus (common swift), 388 nucleotides. RefSeq lists it as uncharacterized. NCBI's taxonomy places the organism in Eukaryota, Metazoa, Chordata, Aves, Apodiformes, Apodidae. The transcript is spliced from 2 exons. The record is from RefSeq and is a predicted model, not a curated record.
AGGCAGGAGAUCCCGCCCCGGAGCGCUCCUGCCUUCCAAUUCCCAACACGGGAACUGCCAGGAGACAGCGCAGGGGCUUCCCACCCAGGGGGAACGCGGCGUCCUCCGCUUCUUGCUGCUCGUGGUGGAGUUCAGAGAUGAAGCAACACCAUAAAUAACCCUGAGGGCCUCGUGGAGUCCAUGCUUCGCGCACUUCUGGCUCAUUGUCACUGCUGUCUGAAAAGAGGGAGGAACCACUCCUUGGGCUUGAAGGAAAGGAAAGCCAAAGAAGGCAAAGAGUUCACACCAAUGGACACCUUACAAGAAAAAAGAUUGCAACUGCAUCUUCAAGUUUUUCUUAAGAGUCUCCUGUUGUAAGCUUUACCUCAAUAAAUACUCUCAGAUUUUC